CCUGCCUUCCAGUCUGGGUGACAGAGUGGAACCUUGUCUCUGAGAAAAAAAGAAGAAAAAAAAAAGAGGCCAAAGCUAACUUGCCCUCUUUCCACCAUGUGAGGUUACAGGGAGAGGUCAGCUGUCUGCAGCCUGGAAUAGGGCCCUUACUUGUGGUGAGAGGGAUCCGGUGGGAGGUAAUCGAAUCAUAGGGGUGGUUUGCUCCAUUCUAUUCUCAUGACAGUAA
Molecule: long non-coding RNA, 226 nt
Filed under: Pan troglodytes (chimpanzee)
Lineage: Eukaryota; Metazoa; Chordata; Mammalia; Primates; Hominidae
Description: long non-coding RNA NONPTRT002386
Source: RNAcentral